GAUGAACGCUGGCGGCGUGCCUAAUACAUGCAAGUCGAGCGAACUGACGAGAAGCUUGCUUCUCUGAUGUUAGCGGCGGACGGGUGAGUAACACGUGGAUAACCUACCUAUAAGACUGGGAUAACUUCGGGAAACCGGAGCUAAUACCGGAUAAUAUUUUGAACCGCAUGGUUCAAAAGUGAAAGACGGUCUUGCUGUCUCUUAUAGAUGGAUCCGCGCUGCAUUAGCUAGUUGGUAAGGUAACGGCUUACCAAGGCAACGAUGCAUAGCCGACCUGAGAGGGUGAUCGGCCACACUGGAACUGAGACACGGUCCAGACUCCUACGGGAGGCAGCAGUAGGGAAUCUUCCGCAAUGGGCGAAAGCCUGACGGAGCAACGCCGCGUGAGUGAUGAAGGUCUUCGGAUCGUAAAACUCUGUUAUUAGGGAAGAACAUAUGUGUAAGUAACUGUGCACAUCUUGACGGUACCUAAUCAGAAAGCCACGGCUAACUACGUG
RNAcentral lists this ribosomal RNA (497 nucleotides) under uncultured bacterium. Its description in RNAcentral is "partial 16S ribosomal RNA". It matches the Rfam family "Bacterial small subunit ribosomal RNA", at positions 28 to 507 of the family's 1533-position model. The record is from RNAcentral.